Meleagris gallopavo (turkey) is the source of this 6276-nucleotide non-coding RNA. The record is from RefSeq and is a predicted model, not a curated record. Lineage: Eukaryota; Metazoa; Chordata; Aves; Galliformes; Phasianidae.
GCCGGAGACCCCCGGGCCGUUACCGCGUCACGUCCCCUUGCUGCUGCUUGAGGACGUCGGUACGGGACAGGGGUACCGCUGCCGGAUAUCCCGGGUUCGUUGCCCGCUCGAAGCAGAAAGCAGCGAGACGGGAACUGGCGUGCGCUUGGUUUCCUCUCUCCACUUGCAAAAUCCAGGGAAAUUGUGUUUUCGUGUUUAGCGGCCGUGAAGAUUGCUUUGAGUGACAUUACUGGAAAUUACCCAUAGCCCUGCUUUAAUUUGUGUUAACAGCAAGCCUGCCCUGCAGUCCAUGUUCCCUUUAAUUCCUGCAGUGCCUCCAUACUGUUUGCAUGACAGAGAGAGCAGCAGCCAAGCGGCGUGAGAAUCCCAUGAAAGUAUUGUUUUCAGAACAAGUGAAUAUUGGCAACUUUUCUUGAGAACAGUGAAAACUCAGCUCCUCGGAUAGGUGAGUUUCCAUUCUGCAGUUUCCUGCACAGGGUUUCCACUUAAUAUCAGCCCUUCACUGUGGAAAGCACUGGUACAGUAUUAUGCACAAUACAAAAAGAAGUAGGCACCCAGCAGAUUUUACCAAAUGCAUCCAGAGAUUUCUAUGUUUAAUUUCAUGGACAUGUUAUGUUGGAAUUUUACAUAGACUUCAGGGUACAGUUAUGACUAAGCAAGAACAGUGGGUAACAAAAAGUCUGCUUAGAGGAGAAAGCAGGGAAUUUGCCGUAGAGCAAGAUGCAUGGGGUGAUGUGUAAGAGGAGGCUUUUUUUAUAGGUUACCUACACAUAGGCAGCUUUGUUGCCCUUCAGAGGUAUCCAUUCAGCUCGGCUGUGGGCAGGCACUUUCCUCACCCUCCUGCACAGAACCAGCAGAUGAGGUGGGCAGCCUGCUCCUUCCCACUUUGGUAAUGAGACUUUGCCAAAAUUAGGGACAUCAGGGAAGUGAGCUGCUAGCUGCUUUCUUCUUUAGUCCUCUUUGCAGAUAGGAAUCUAGACACUGGACUUUCUUCCUUCUGAGUAAUAUAUACAUUUCCUCAUUCUUCUGAGCAGUUUAUACCUUGACUCACUGCUGUCCUACUUCAAAGGUGCAGAAAUCAGAGGGAGAUCUCUAACACCUCACUAGAAUGAAGUUGUUUCUUCUCACCUCAGGAUGGCUAAACAGUAUGUCAUCUCAGCUGAGAUCCUAAUAAAGAUGAGCAAGUUAAUGUUUCGUCUUCAAGAUCUAGUUAAAUUCCAAGCUUCUUGUCUCAAUUUAGUAAGAGAAAACACCAAUGUGGAUUUCAUUUUAAAACAGUUGAAUAGGCCUUUACAGCUUAGUAGCUCUGUGUGUCAUGAAGCAAACUGUUCGUGAGAGAAGUCUCCAAGAAAUUCAGCACGCACGGGUUCAAAAAGAUGGUUGCUUAAAGCCCUCUUUGAAGCUUUCGUACCUGUGAAAUUCAAGCAAGUUUUAAAUAAAAGCUCUAAAAAUGAGGCCUGGCAGCACAGUCUGCAGAGAGCUUGUGGCUGCAGAAGAGCAGACCGACAGCACAACUGCCUGUAAGCAGUGCUCAUGCUGGCCGGCUCUGGCAAGCAAGCCUCCUCCAGCCAUGACCUGGUUGAGAAGGAUGUUGGCAGAAGCAUUGUGCAAGACUCACAUCACACAUCAUACUCAGUGACACUUGCUCUGUGUGGUGGCAGAACCUACUUAUUUGUCUCCCUUUAGUUUCCCACUUAAUUUUUUAUAUCAACAAUUAAUACUGUUCUAUAAUUUUCUCCAAGUCUAUGUUUGCACUGUAUUUAAAGAUAUAAGGAGGUAAGGUUUUUUUGUUUGUUUGUUUGUUUUUUGUUUGUUUGGUUGGUUUGGUUUGUUGUUUUUUUUUUGUUAUGAACAAGGAGUCCUAGCAAUAAAGAAAGCUGUUAUAUCUGAGGGAAACUAACUCCUCAAAAAAUCCUUUUUUUCUGAGGUUAUGCAUGAAAGCCAGACCUGGAGUUGGAUCCUUUUUAUGAAGCCAUGAAUAAAGAGAAAAAGAGAGAACAUUCAGACAAGAGAUCAGUCUAUUGAGAGUGCUGGGGCUAUAUGACUCACUGAAUUGUCUGAGUAGGUAAAAAAAACCAAACACAAAGUAUAAUAAGAGUAGUUGAGAUCAAUACAAAUAAAACCCCAAUUUUGUUCUCGCUGAGAUUAGGGGAAAAAAAAAGUUGGGAAUAUAGAUUAGCUUGGUUUAAAGACCUGUAAGGUAAAAAAAGGUUAUAGCUGGCCAGGUUCACAGACCUGGUGGAAGUGGUGUCCCCUUUCACGCAUGGCUUAGGCUUUCAAGAAUUCUCCACAGUAGUAGGACCUUAGGUUACAUUUCUCUAUGAUUUAGGCAGAAAGUGAAUUAGUAGUUGAGUUUCACAUGCCUAGAGCUCCUGCUCAGGUAAAAAGAGUUGCUUUGGAUUGUGUUUUUCUCAAUUAUUUUGGCUGAGGUGGAUGCUUUUUCCCCGAAGAAUUACAGACUGAAGCAGACUGCAUGAGAAAUAGUCUUUAUUCUUAGUGGUCAGAUUACUCAUUUGAAUGGUGGAAUUACCUCUAAGCCUCCCUGGCACGUUCUGGUUCCAUAUCCAGUGAAAGUUUAAUUAUUUUUGCAAAAUGAAGUGGCACUAAGACAGAUUGAGUGUACAUGGCCAAAGUUGCCUCCAACCUUUAUGGGACAUAGGGAAUAUGUGUUAAACUGAGGAGGAGGACACAGUAAGCCUCUCACAAUCUGAACAAAUUAUCUCAACUCCUCCAGUGAAAGGGAGACAUUAAUCCUUCCUCUAACACUGGAUCUUAGCUGGAUCUUAGCGCAAAAUUGAUACUCAAAUUUCUCUGAAGUUCUGGAAAAUUACUUUGAAACACAUUUGCCAUCUGCCAGGAUAAAACAAUGUCAAACUAAGCCACUCAAAAUGCACAAUCAAUUCUUCAUUAAAAAUAAGGCCACCUCAUUUUCAGGUGUUUUACAUAGCUUAGUAUCCUUGUGUAGUUAUAUUCUAAAUACAUCUACAAGCAAACUUUUUCUUCAUGUCUUAGAAUGAGCCAGUACCUCAAGCUUCUCUUGGGCUGGACUUAAUCGCAACUUCUUGUCUCUGCAGACAGACUAUGCAUUAAAUAAAAAACUGUGAUGCAUAAAAAAAACCAAAUGAUGUUGUUAAUAGCAAGAUGCCUAAGAAUGCAGCCCGAUGACACAUUUGGAGUGUUAGUUCCAAGCAAAUAUUGAUUGCUAUUUGUAAAGAGAUAACACAAAAUGUAAAGGUAUCCUGAGAUCAUAACCACAAUUUACUGCUGUCUAUGGAAUGAGAACUGGUAUGGACCUUUGUGCAGAUACCAACCAUAAUGAUGAAUGUAGGUCACUAUAUUUUUUCUGCAUGUUCUUGACCUUUGAAUUUCUGUUCCUCAACUCAGUAUUUCUUGAAUGUAUGUUUUCAAUAGGUUAUUAGCUUUGGAGUGAACUAUUCAUCUACGUAUGCUUUGUUAUCCAUUAUAAUUCCACAAAAGUUAAUUUACCACAUUAGUAGUUUGGCCUUGCAGGAAGACAUAAAGGAUUAGCAUUCUAUCGUGUUGGACACCUACAGAUACAAAAUUAACUCUAAGGAUUUUGUCUUCUCCAUUGGUUAGGUCUCAUUUUAUUGAAAAGUGCAGACUAGCUGACAAGGUGUUUUUAGCACUACAUUUCAAAGACAGAAGCUUAGCUUUGUCUGAUUUAGAACAGGAAUGCUCUUGAAUGAUAAGGGAAAUUCAUUUUGACUAUCUGACACCAUCUAGAAGAAAGGUUUGAAAGUUAUAUGUGCCAAGAAACUUGGAAAACCUGCACAUAAGAUAAAGGUUUUCCACUAUUAUAGUAUUAAGCACUCAAGCAACUGAAUGAGCAUAAGCCAUAAACUCCAGCCUUGAUUACUCAAGCAUGUAAUAUAGUUUAGUGCUUCAGUGUCUAAGGUGUCACCUUGGUAGGAGUUAUUGAACAUGUGGUCUCAACAAUUGCCCUAUUAAAUGUGAACAGCUAACAUUGCUUCUCAUUAUCCUUCUGCAGCACAGUCAUAACCAAAUAAGGCAGGAGGAGGCUUUAACAGAUUGGUGACUUUUAGUGAAAUAAUUUGACAACACAGCCAAUUAACACAGUUGCCCAUUCCAGAAAUUUGAUUUGUUCUGUCCAUGUCCUUCAGAUUCUUGCAGCUGAGGAUAAUUCUUCCUGAUCCUCAGAAAACUUCAACAAACCAAAAGUGGACUGGAGCUGAAAGCCAAUCUUUUCUUACGUAGCCUAUUUGAAGGAGACCCCUGUAUGAACGGGCAAUCUCAGAGCAUUAAGACAUGGAAAGUACUUUAGUAACUGACUACCUGAAGUGUGCAAGACAAGUUCUCCACAUUUUUAGUGUGGAGGAGCUUAUCGUCUUGUACGCAGAGAACUCCAAAGAAGUAGAUGGCACUAGGAAAAUAAUGAAUGGUAGUAUAACUUACGAGGCAAAUUUAUGUUGCAGUAGAGGAAGCUUUUUGAGAUGCCAUUUUUCCCAAGUCUCAUGGGCUCCCAUAUCAAAUUAACUCAGUUUGCAGGCAUAAAGUCAGAUUAUAAUUGUCAAGAUCCUUUCUCUCCCAUCUCCUCUAUCAUUACCACUGAAAAAAUUACGUCUUUUAUGUUAUUAGCACAUAACAUAACAAUAGACAUUUUUGUGCAACCUUUCACACCUUCAGUCUUGCCAGUGACCUCAUUACACUUCCGUGCCUUACAUCUAUUUCAGUACAGCCAUUCUCUGAUGAGAAUCCAACAGUUAAGUGUGUAAGUCAGCCUGCAGGGUACAAGGUGCCUUGGAAAUAGCUCGAUGUGAAUUUCAGAGUAAAGUCUGAGAUUGUGAGACUGGCAACCAGCAAAAACAUCAACCAUCUGUAAAUCUGAUACAGAAAUCACUGAACAGAAUGAAUAUCAAUAAGGCAGUUGAUGUGCCAACAUUUCUACUUGCUAUACUAAAUAUCUCCACAUUACUUAUACUUCAUUUUUCUCUCAUUUUCCCUGUUGUAUGUUUCUCUACCUCUUGUUGUCAAUUACUAGCUGUUACAACACUACAAUGAUUAUUUCAUAUCUCCUACGCUAGUCACUGGCUCAUUCCCUUCAGAACCUAAGGGAAAUAAUUAUAAAAAAUAAACUAACAAAGACAAAAAAAUGAAGGCAAAAGAGCUAUUUUUGAUUCUGGGAGAGAGAAGAGCGAAAAGUUAAUUGCCAAAAUAGUUUCUGAGAAAUUACACAGCCAAGAACAGUAUUUUUCAUUUUACCUCUACAGCUCAAACAGGAAUCAUAAAUGCCCAUUUGUUGAGCAGGGAAAUAACUUACGGCAUUUACCAGGGCACUCAUUUAUGACCAGAUGCCUAUAGUCAUUAAUUGUUGUAAUUGACAUAGGAAGGACAGCACUUACCAUUGUUCUGCUCUCCUUUCCCCACUCCCAGAUCCUGAAGAAGGUAUUCAUAUAACUUUGAGAACAUUUAGCUCUUUGUUGUCUUGGACUAGAUAAACCACUUUUCCAAGCUAGCAACAACCUCACACAAUCUCUCUGAUGAUCUUAGAUACCAUGGUGACAGUAGAAAUAUCUAGGAUGAAAGACAGAGAAAUUAGAAAGUUAUUUUUUUUGAGAAUCACUGCAAGGAAAGGUCUUACACUUUUCUUCUAAGAUUUGAUGCUGAGUUAAUUAUCUUGAUGUAUAAAAUACAGCUUUUUGCAACAAAGACAGGAUUAUAGUCAGCUAAGUUUUCAGGAGAAUUAUCCUGCGUGGCAAGCAAAGUCAAGGAUUUUACUCGGUUAAUAAAACCCAAAAAUGCAUUCUUUUUCAUUUUUCAGAUAUGGCCAGGCUAAAGAUCCAGUUGAUCAGCAUUCCAGGCUACUGUGAAAUGUUAUAUCCGUUUUUACAGAUGAGUAAGCUGAGAUGCAAGUGUUAGCGUCAGUCAAAAUAAAAGCUCAAAGAAGUUUUAUAGUCUGAUCAGUAGCCAGAAAUGCUUUUGACUUUUUGGAGAAAAAGGCUUAUUUCAGAAGGUGAAGACUGGUCUAUAUGUAGAAAUACUUUAAUAAGGCAUCUUUUUCAGCCACAACGUUUUAUACUGUGCAGGAUGUAAUCACAAUAAUACUCAAAAUUAAUGGUAGGAGAUUAAGGAUGGUCUCUUGGGCAUUAGAAAGACCUGCAUAUUACUAAUAAUUGUUCUUUCUAAUCAUAAUAUAAUGCAAACAAAGUAAAUUGUAUCAUCAUUAUCUUUGUACUUUGGUAUGUGAUUUGGCUAUGAAAAACAAUGAGUAGAUCUGAUAUUAUUAUUACCUGUAUU